GUGUCAGCAGCCGCGGUAAUACGUAGGCAGCGAGCGUUGUUCGGAGUUACUGGGCGUAAAGCGUGCGUAGGCGGUGGUCCAAGUCUGGUGUGAAAUCUCCCGGCUUAACUGGGAGGGUGCGCCGGAAACUGGGCCGCUGGAGUGUGGGAGAGGUAAGCGGAAUUCCUGGUGUAGCGGUGAAAUGCGUAGAUAUCAGGAGGAACACCUGUGGUGUAGACAGCUUACUGGACCAUGACUGACGCUGAGGCACGAAAGCGUGGGGAGCAAACAGGAUUAGAUACCCCCGUAGUCC
Molecule: ribosomal RNA, 292 nt
Filed under: uncultured bacterium
Lineage: Bacteria
Description: partial 16S ribosomal RNA
Rfam family: Bacterial small subunit ribosomal RNA
Source: RNAcentral